CCUACGGGAGGCAGCAGUGGGGAAUUUUCCGCAAUGGGCGAAAGCCUGACGGAGCAAUACCGCGUGAGGGAGGAAGGCUCUUGGGUUGUAAACCUCUUUUGUCAGGGAAGAAGAUCUGACGGUACCUGACGAAUCAGCAUCGGCUAACUCCGUGCCAGCAGCCGCGGUAAUACGGGGGAUGCAAGCGUUAUCCGGAAUUAUUGGGCGUAAAGCGUCCGCAGGUGGUUGUUCAAGUCUGCUGUUAAAGCAUGGGGCUUAACUCCAUAUAGGCAGUGGAAACUGGACGACUAGAGUACGGUAGGGGUCGCGGGAAUUCCCAGUGUAGCGGUGAAAUGCGUAGAUAUUGGGAAGAACACCAGUGGCGAAAGCGCGCGGCUGGACCUGUACUGACACUGAGGGACGAAAGCUAGGGGAGCGAAAGGGAUUAGAUACCCCUGUAGUCCUAGCUGUAAACGAUGGAUACUAGGUGUUGCCCGUAUCGACCCGGGCAGUGCGUACGCUACGACGUACGUAUCCGCCGUCGGGUAGGUACGCGACGCGAGUAGUGAACGUACAAGGAAGUUAGACGGCGUGAGACGUCGCCGACGGACGACGACCGAGGGAGGUAGG
RNAcentral lists this ribosomal RNA (609 nucleotides) under uncultured bacterium. RNAcentral describes it as "bacterial SSU rRNA". The stretch from base 1 to 519 matches the Rfam family "Bacterial small subunit ribosomal RNA", at positions 338 to 873 of the family's 1533-position model. The record is from RNAcentral.